This 331-nucleotide ribosomal RNA is filed under the name Auxenochlorella protothecoides. RNAcentral describes it as "LSU rRNA". It matches the Rfam family "Eukaryotic large subunit ribosomal RNA", at positions 14 to 349 of the family's 3401-position model. Lineage: Eukaryota; Viridiplantae; Chlorophyta; Trebouxiophyceae; Chlorellales; Chlorellaceae. The record is from RNAcentral.
GGCAAGACCACCCGCUGAACAGCAUAAUAAGCGGAGGAAGAGAAACUAACCAGGAUUCCCCUAGUAACGGCGAGCGAACCGGGAAGAGCCCAACGUGAGAAUCUCCAGCUUUCAGCUGGCGAAUUGUAGUCUAUAGAAGCCGUCUUUGUGUCGCCUCGGGUCCAAGUUCCCUGGAAAGGGACGUCGGAGAGGGUGAGAACCCCGUGGGCCCCGAGUGUCGUCACCCCACGAGACGCUCUCGCAGAGUCGGGUUGCUUGGGAAUGCAGCCCAAAGCAGGUGGUAAAUCCCAUCUAAGGCUAAAUAUCGACGGGAGACCGAUAGCGAACAAGU